This 508-nucleotide ribosomal RNA is filed under the name uncultured Actinomyces sp. Its description in RNAcentral is "partial 16S ribosomal RNA". Lineage: Bacteria; Bacillati; Actinomycetota; Actinomycetes; Actinomycetales; Actinomycetaceae. The record is from RNAcentral.
CACGUAGUUAGCCGGCGCUUCUUUACCCACUACCCUCACCACAACCAAUGUUGCGGCUUGACCAUGAGCGAAAGAGGUUUACAACCCGAAGGCCUCCAUCCCUCACGCGGCGUCGCUGCAUCAGGCUUUCGCCCAUUGUGCAAUAUUCCCCACUGCUGCCUCCCGUAGGAGUCUGGGCCGUAUCUCAGUCCCAAUGUGACCGGUCACCCUCUCAGGCCGGCUACCCGUCAAAGCCCUUGGUAGGCCAUCACCCCACCAACAAGCUGAUAGGCCGCGAGCCCAUCCCCCACCAGAAAAAACCUUUCCACCAACCCCCAUGCGAAGAUCAGUGAAUAUCCAGUAUUAGCACCCGUUUCCGGGCGUUAUCCCAAAGAAGGGGCAGGUUACUCACGUGUUACUCACCCGUUCGCCACUCAUCCACCCAACAAAAGCUAGGCUUCAGCGUUCGACUUGCAUGUGUUAAGCACGCCGCCAGCGUUCGUCCUCGUAGCCACGGAGUCAAACUACU